GCCUGAGUGGCUCAGCAGUUGAGCGCCUGCCUUUGGCUCAGGGCGUGAUCCCGGAUUCUUGGGUUCGAGUCCCACAUCGGGCU
Molecule: transfer RNA, 83 nt
Filed under: Vulpes vulpes (red fox)
Lineage: Eukaryota; Metazoa; Chordata; Mammalia; Carnivora; Canidae
Also listed under: 1 other name
Rfam family: tRNA
About the family: Transfer RNA (tRNA) molecules are approximately 80 nucleotides in length. Their secondary structure includes four short double-helical elements and three loops (D, anti-codon, and T loops).
Source: Rfam by way of RNAcentral